AAGUCGUAACAAGGUUUCCGUAGGUGAACCUGCGGAAGGAUCAUUACCACACCUCUUUUGUCCGAUUGACUAUUCCGCUUCGGUGGGAUCGGAUAUCGGACAGAAAACAAUGGAAAGUGAAGAGCCUCGGCUCGGAUCCGACUAUUGCGUCCCACGUAACUAAACUUAAACUUGUGGUGUCAUUAGACGCCCAUUUUUAUAAAUAACAUUUCAAAUGUUGACCUGAUUAUAAUUUUCACUAAUUAGAGUCUUGUGUUUAUUCACUCGCUCUAUCAAAAUUAAUGAAAAAACACUUUCAGCAACGGAUGUCUUGGCUCCCAU
This 321-nucleotide unclassified non-coding RNA is filed under the name fungal sp. Its description in RNAcentral is "partial internal transcribed spacer region". The stretch from base 1 to 46 matches the Rfam family "Eukaryotic small subunit ribosomal RNA", at positions 1786 to 1831 of the family's 1831-position model. Lineage: Eukaryota; Fungi. The record is from RNAcentral.